CUUCCCCGGCGGCUUUUUUUCAUUUUAGAGUUUUAAUCAUGCUCAGGACGAACGCUGGCGGCGUGCUUAACACAUGCAAGUCGAGCGGUAAGGCCUUUCGGGGUACACGAGCGGCGAACGGGUGAGUAACACGUGGGUGAUCUGCCCUGCACUUCGGGAUAAGCCUGGGAAACUGGGUCUAAUACCGGAUAUGACCUCCUAUCGCAUGGUGGGUGGUGGAAAGAUUUAUCGGUGCAGGAUGGGCCCGCGGCCUAUCAGCUUGUUGGUGGGGUAAUGGCCUACCAAGGCGACGACGGGUAGCCGACCUGAGAGGGUGACCGGCCACACUGGGACUGAGACACGGCCCAGACUCCUACGGGAGGCAGCAGUGGGGAAUAUUGCACAAUGGGCGAAAGCCUGAUGCAGCGACGCCGCGUGAGGGAUGACGGCCUUCGGGUUGUAAACCUCUUUCAGCAGGGACGAAGCGCAAGUGACGGUACCUGCAGAAGAAGCACCGGCUAACUACGUGCCAGCAGCCGCGGUAAUACGUAGGGUGCAAGCGUUGUCCGGAAUUACUGGGCGUAAAGAGUUCGUAGGCGGUUUGUCGCGUCGUUUGUGAAAACCAGCAGCUCAACUGCUGGCUUGCAGGCGAUACGGGCAGACUUGAGUACUGCAGGGGAGACUGGAAUUCCUGGUGUAGCGGUGAAAUGCGCAGAUAUCAGGAGGAACACCGGUGGCGAAGGCGGGUCUCUGGGCAGUAACUGACGCUGAGGAACGAAAGCGUGGGUAGCGAACAGGAUUAGAUACCCUGGUAGUCCACGCCGUAAACGGUGGGCGCUAGGUGUGGGUUCCUUCCACGGAAUCCGUGCCGUAGCUAACGCAUAAGCGCCCCGCUUGUGUGGGGCCGACUUCCA
RNAcentral lists this ribosomal RNA (893 nucleotides) under Rhodococcus sp. (in: high G+C Gram-positive bacteria). Its description in RNAcentral is "bacterial SSU rRNA". It matches the Rfam family "Bacterial small subunit ribosomal RNA", at positions 1 to 897 of the family's 1533-position model. Lineage: Bacteria; Bacillati; Actinomycetota; Actinomycetes; Mycobacteriales; Nocardiaceae. The record is from RNAcentral.